GACUCGGUAGCUAAGUUGGUAAAACGCUCGUCAAGCAUACAAGAGUCCUGGGUUCGAAUCCCAGCCGAGCA
This 71-nucleotide transfer RNA is filed under the name Aedes aegypti (yellow fever mosquito). It matches the Rfam family "tRNA". Rfam says of the family: Transfer RNA (tRNA) molecules are approximately 80 nucleotides in length. Their secondary structure includes four short double-helical elements and three loops (D, anti-codon, and T loops). Lineage: Eukaryota; Metazoa; Arthropoda; Insecta; Diptera; Culicidae. The record is from Rfam by way of RNAcentral.